GUGGAAAUGUUUGCCGGUGAGCAAACAAUGACCGGUAUAUGAGGUUUUCGAUGUUGGAUCAAAUUUUAAGCUCGCAACUGAACUUUGAUUUUAUUCAAAUGGGAAUAAUUCAGUGGCAAGAAGAGAAGAGGUGGCUUCCCUGGCCUUGUGUCCCCCCACAACUCCGUGAAGACUCAAGAAAGCAUUUGAAUCACUCUCGAGAAUGUGCAAACCCAGAUCUAAUAAUAGGCAUGACUAUCAACAACAUUGCUUAGCAAACAUAGUGUGGUGUAGGGAGACAUUAUGUAGGGUUGUUUGUGCAGUUCCAACAAGCUAUUUGAAAGAUGCAGGAUUUUCUUUUAUGCGGUUUGGAUUGGUGUGUGUUUGGACUUUAGAAUUAUAUGUUGCAGUUAAAAUUGUUUAGACUAGUUUUCAGUUUUAGGUGAGAAGGAUGAGAUGUAUCUAAAAGCUUUGGUAGAACUUAGUGGUUGUUUCGGUCAGUAGUUACAAGUUGUAUUAGGCCUUGUUUUGGUAGUAAUGAACAAUAUUGCUCAGGUGGAAUUUGCCAAUUUUUUAAUUUGAUCUAA
Molecule: long non-coding RNA, 566 nt
Organism: Glycine soja
Lineage: Eukaryota; Viridiplantae; Streptophyta; Magnoliopsida; Fabales; Fabaceae
Exons: 2
Source: RefSeq, a predicted model, not a curated record